UACGUAGGGUGCGAGCGUUAAUCGGAAUUACUGGGCGUAAAGCGUGCGCAGGCGGUUUUGUAAGCCAGAUGUGAAAUCCCCGGGCUUAACCUGGGAAUGGCAUUUGGGACUGCAAGGCUGGAGUGUGGCAGAGGAGACUGGAAUUCCUGGUGUAGCAGUGAAAUGCGUAGAUAUCGGGAGGAACAUCAGUGGCGAAGGCGGCCCUCUGGUCCAGUACUGACACUCAAGUGCGAAAGCGUGGGGAGCAAACAGG
RNAcentral lists this ribosomal RNA (253 nucleotides) under uncultured bacterium. RNAcentral's name for it is "partial 16S ribosomal RNA". It matches the Rfam family "Bacterial small subunit ribosomal RNA", at positions 524 to 776 of the family's 1533-position model. The record is from RNAcentral.